CAACGAGCGCAACCCUUAUCCUUUGUUGCCAGCGGUCCGGCCGGGAACUCAAAGGAGACUGCCAGUGAUAAACUGGAGGAAGGUGGGGAUGACGUCAAGUCAUCAUGGCCCUUACGACCAGGGCUACACACGUGCUACAAUGGCGCAUACAAAGAGAAGCGACCUCGCGAGAGCAAGCGGACCUCAUAAAGUGCGUCGUAGUCCGGAUUGGAGUCUGCAACUCGACUCCAUGAAGUCGGAAUCGCUAGUAAUCGUGGAUCAGAAUGCCACGGUGAAUACGUUCCCGGGCCUUGUACACACCGCCCGUCACACCAUGGGAGUGGGUUGCAAAAGAAGUAGGUAGCUUAACCUUCGGGAGGGCGCUUACCACUUUGUGAUUCAUGACUGGGGUGAAGUCGUAACAAGGUAACCGUAGGGGAACCUGC
Molecule: ribosomal RNA, 425 nt
Filed under: Salmonella enterica subsp. enterica serovar Infantis
Lineage: Bacteria; Pseudomonadati; Pseudomonadota; Gammaproteobacteria; Enterobacterales; Enterobacteriaceae
Also listed under: 4 other names
Description: bacterial SSU rRNA
Rfam family: Bacterial small subunit ribosomal RNA
Source: RNAcentral